GAUGAACGCUGGCGGCGUGCCUAAUACAUGCAAGUCGAGCGAAUGGACGAGAAGCUUGCUUCUCUGAUGUUAGCGGCGGACGGGUGAGUAACACGUGGCUAACCUCUCUCUAAGACUGGGAUAACUUCGGGAAACCGGAGCUAAUACCGGAUGAUAUUUUGAACAGCAUGGUCUAAAAGUGACAGACGGUCUUGCUGUCACUUACAGAUCGAUCCGCGCUGCAUUAGCUAGUUGGUAAGGUAACGGCUUACCAAGGCAACUAUGCAUAGCCGACCGGAAAGAGUGAUCGGCCACUCUAGAGCUGGGACACGGUCCAGACUCCUACGAGAGGCAGCAGUAGGGAAUCUUCCGCAGUGGGCGAGAGCCUGACGGAGCAACGCCGCGUGAGUGGUGAAGAUCUUCGGAUCGUAAAGCUCUGUUAUUAGGGAAGAACAUAUGUGUAAGUAACUGUGCACAUCUUGACGGUACCUAAUGAGAAAGCCACGGCUAACUACGUG
Molecule: ribosomal RNA, 497 nt
Filed under: uncultured bacterium
Lineage: Bacteria
Description: partial 16S ribosomal RNA
Rfam family: Bacterial small subunit ribosomal RNA
Source: RNAcentral